UACGGAGGGUGCAAGCGUUAUCCGGAUUUAUUGGGCUUAAAGGGUCCGCAGGCGGACUAUUAAGUCAGUGGUGAAAGCCCACAGCUCAACUGUGGAAUUGCCAUUGAUACUGGUAGUCUUGAGUGCGUAUGAAGUUGGCGGAAUGUGUGGUGUAGCGGUGAAAUGCUUAGAUAUCACACAGAACACCGAUUGCGAAGGCAGCUGACUAAUACGUUACUGACGCUCAGGGACGAAAGUGUGGGGAUCAAACAGG
RNAcentral lists this ribosomal RNA (253 nucleotides) under uncultured bacterium. Its description in RNAcentral is "partial 16S ribosomal RNA". It matches the Rfam family "Bacterial small subunit ribosomal RNA", at positions 524 to 776 of the family's 1533-position model. The record is from RNAcentral.